UGGCGGACGGGUGAGUAAUGUCUGGGAAACUGCCUGAUGGAGGGGGAUAACUACUGGAAACGGUAGCUAAUACCGCAUAACGUCGCAAGACCAAAGAGGGGGACCUUCGGGCCUCUUGCCAUCGGAUGUGCCCAGAUGGGAUUAGCUAGUAGGUGGGGUAACGGCUCACCUAGGCGACGAUCCCUAGCUGGUCUGAGAGGAUGACCAGCCACACUGGAACUGAGACACGGUCCAGACUCCUACGGGAAGCAGCAUG
This 256-nucleotide ribosomal RNA is filed under the name uncultured bacterium. Its description in RNAcentral is "partial 16S ribosomal RNA". It matches the Rfam family "Bacterial small subunit ribosomal RNA", at positions 96 to 353 of the family's 1533-position model. The record is from RNAcentral.